Molecule: transfer RNA, 69 nt
Filed under: Hyloxalus pulcherrimus
Lineage: Eukaryota; Metazoa; Chordata; Amphibia; Anura; Dendrobatidae
Description: tRNA-Val
Rfam family: tRNA
About the family: Transfer RNA (tRNA) molecules are approximately 80 nucleotides in length.
Source: RNAcentral
CAAAAUGUAGCUUAACCAAAGCAUUCCGCUUACACCGAAAUGACACCCGUGAGACCCUGGUCAUUUUGA